CUCAACUUUUUUAAUUUGAAAUCGUCCAAUCACAUUUUGACACGUGUGCAGUGUCAAAAUAAUGUCAAAAAAUGGUGUUAAAAUAUCAUUUUCCAAUCUGUAAAUAAGAUAAUUGACCUAUUAUGACUUUCCGUCUAUAAUUUCGCGAAAAUGUUUCUUUAACACCCUUAUUUGACACAAAUUUGACACAAUUUUUAUUGGUUUCUUUCUUUUAAAUGGAAAUGGGUUUUUUAAAAACUGACGAGGGUAGAAUAGGAAUUAUGAAGAUAUGAAAUUUUGUUUGGCAGUUUCUUUUUCUUCUCUCUCACUUUGUUUAUGAAGUUUCUUGUCUCCCAUCACUCUUUCCAUUCCCGGUUGCUUCAUCUCUCCAAUCCUUUGGUUUCUCCGUUGCACCGUUCGUCUCAUCUCAACUCAAAAAAAGCUAUCUUUCGCAAGGUAAGCUCUAUUUCCUCUAUCCCCUUUUUGGGUGGCUUUAGCGUUGUGUGUGUUUUUUCAUUUCGUCCCCUUCUCGCAUUGUGUGGGUUCUCUUUCUGUAUCAUUUUGUCCCCU
RNAcentral lists this long non-coding RNA (549 nucleotides) under Vigna radiata. RNAcentral's name for it is "long non-coding RNA (VRAD_LNC012159)". Lineage: Eukaryota; Viridiplantae; Streptophyta; Magnoliopsida; Fabales; Fabaceae. The record is from RNAcentral.